Molecule: ribosomal RNA, 1506 nt
Filed under: metagenome
Description: bacterial SSU rRNA
Rfam family: Bacterial small subunit ribosomal RNA
Source: RNAcentral
AGAGUUUGAUCCUGGCUCAGGACGAACGCUGGCGGCGUGCCUAAUACAUGCAAGUAGAACGCUGAAGAGAGGAGCUUGCUCUUCUUGGAUGAGUUGCGAACGGGUGAGUAACGCGUAGGUAACCUGCCUUGUAGCGGGGGAUAACUAUUGGAAACGAUAGCUAAUACCGCAUAACAAUGGAUGACACAUGUCAUUUAUUUGAAAGGGGCAAUUGUUCCACUACAAGAUGGACCUGCGUUGUAUUAGCUAGUAGGUGAGGUAAUGGCUCACCUAGGCGACGAUACAUAGCCGACCUGAGAGGGUGAUCGGCCACACUGGGACUGAGACACGGCCCAGACUCCUACGGGAGGCAGCAGUAGGGAAUCUUCGGCAAUGGGGGCAACCCUGACCGAGCAACGCCGCGUGAGUGAAGAAGGUUUUCGGAUCGUAAAGCUCUGUUGUAAGUCAAGAACGGGUGUGAGAGUGGAAAGUUCACACUGUGACGGUAGCUUACCAGAAAGGGACGGCUAACUACGUGCCAGCAGCCGCGGUAAUACGUAGGUCCCGAGCGUUGUCCGGAUUUAUUGGGCGUAAAGCGAGCGCAGGCGGUUUGAUAAGUCUGAAGUUAAAGGCUGUGGCUCAACCAUAGUUCGCUUUGGAAACUAUCAAACUUGAGUGCAAAAGGGGAGAGUGGAAUUCCAUGUGUAGCGGUGAAAUGCGUAGAUAUAUGGAGGAACACCGGUGGCGAAAGCGGCUCUCUGGUCUGUAACUGACGCUGAGGCUCGAAAGCGUGGGGAGCGAACAGGAUUAGAUACCCUGGUAGUCCACGCCGUAAACGAUGAGUGCUAGGUGUUGGAUCCUUUCCGGGAUUCAGUGCCGCAGCUAACGCAUUAAGCACUCCGCCUGGGGAGUACGACCGCAAGGUUGAAACUCAAAGGAAUUGACGGGGGCCCGCACAAGCGGUGGAGCAUGUGGUUUAAUUCGAAGCAACGCGAAGAACCUUACCAGGUCUUGACAUCCCGAUGCUAUUUCUAGAGAUAGAAAGUUACUUCGGUACAUCGGUGACAGGUGGUGCAUGGUUGUCGUCAGCUCGUGUCGUGAGAUGUUGGGUUAAGUCCCGCAACGAGCGCAACCCCUAUUGUUAGUUGCCAUCAUUCAGUUGGGCACUCUAGCGAGACUGCCGGUAAUAAACCGGAGGAAGGUGGGGAUGACGUCAAAUCAUCAUGCCCCUUAUGACCUGGGCUACACACGUGCUACAAUGGUUGGUACAACGAGUUGCGAGUCGGUGACGGCGAGCUAAUCUCUUAAAGCCAAUCUCAGUUCGGAUUGUAGGCUGCAACUCGCCUACAUGGAGUCGGAAUCGCUAGUAAUCGCGGAUCAGCACGCCGCGGUGAAUACGUUCCCGGGCCUUGUACACACCGCCCGUCACACCACGAGAGUUUGUAACACCCGAAGUCGGUGAGGUAACCUUUUGGAGCCAGCCGCCUAAGGUGGGACAGAUGAUUGGGGUGAAGUCGUAACAAGGUA